AUAUAACCUCAAACCUUUUCUUUGUUGAAGGGAUUGGAUGUGGGGGUUUUGCUGGGCCUCUUAAGAGGUUCAGCUCCUCUGAAAUGCAUUAGCAGAACAACCUUGCUCAUUGGUGUGAUAACUAUCUACGCUUAUGAAUGCAAGGGGCAGUUCAGCUUUCUAACUGUCUUUGGACAAUUCAUCAUUA
Molecule: unclassified non-coding RNA, 187 nt
Filed under: uncultured Cortinarius
Lineage: Eukaryota; Fungi; Basidiomycota; Agaricomycetes; Agaricales; Cortinariaceae
Description: sequence contains ITS2
Source: RNAcentral